Podarcis raffonei (Aeolian wall lizard) is the source of this 1283-nucleotide long non-coding RNA. RefSeq lists it as uncharacterized. The record is from RefSeq and is a predicted model, not a curated record. The transcript has 3 exons. Lineage: Eukaryota; Metazoa; Chordata; Lepidosauria; Squamata; Lacertidae.
GACAGGGAAGCAUAGCUGAGCCGUGAGGUAGUGUCAACUGGGACAAGUUGAGGUCCUAUAGCCUUGGUCCCUUUAACCUCAUUCUCUCCAUCACCACAGCACUGGGAAAACACUCACAGAAGGAAGCCAGCAGGUUUUGCCAGAUGGCUGACCGCGCUGACCCCAACCAUUCCCCCACCUUUAACUCUUCCUUAAGAAAACAAGGAGCGGGCCAGCCAAUCAGUUUAUGGCUUCCUCUUGUUCAACCAUGUUCUUUGGCUGUAAACUCCGUCUUGCUUGGCCAGCAUCCUCUAUUUUGGCUGGACUGAGGGUAGAGUAUUGCUUUUAUAGGUGCCUAUAAAACAGCCGGUAGAAUUUGGAUUAUUCAUGGAGAUGGUGCAAAAAGAAAAAUUAUGAAAACAGGAAGAAGAAGAAGAAGAAGAAGAAGAAGAAGAAGAAGAAGAAGAAGAAGAAGAAGGAGAAAGCACCAAACUCUUUCUUUGACCCUACAGCUGUGGAGGUAUACAUCUUUGAGAAAAGGGGAAAAACCAAGGGGAAGGGAAAAUACACAGCAUGGACAUGAUUGAAACAUGAAGGAGCUUUUAUUUCAGUCAUUAAAUUUAUUUAUUUAUUUAUUUAAUUCUCAUAAACAAAGCAGGAGUUCUUUGCAAAUGUACAAUUACAAACCAGCACUCAAGCUCAUCUGUAAGCUAGUAACAUCAGCUCACGCCCUGUUAUUGGAAAGCACUGUUUGUUUUUCUCCAUCUACUCUUUUGCUGAUGGUUCAUUCAAAUGAUGAGACGGUUACUCCCACACUAACUUGUCCCAUAAUUACUGUACUCUUGACGUGUGUGACCCCUGGAUCUUGCGAUAGAAGGAUAUAUGUUUCCAUGCAGAGAGAGGUGGCUUGCAAAUGGUUGCAUUAACAACCUUGGAAGGCAUUCUCAAGAACACAUUGUCCUAGAUGCUCUCAAAUGCGGAUUCCGUCCACAUGAACUGCUGGAGUAAACACACCACUAUAAAUGUCCUAAUGCUGCUGCUCAAAAUGUAUUGUCUUUUUUGGAAUGGAUAUUCAAGCACAAAAGACAUGUCUACCCUAUACGUUCUGAAGGAUGCAUUCAUGUUUCAAGUAUGGCUUUUCUGUAUAAUAGUGAGUGUUUUAGUUGCAGUAUAACCAGCAAAGAGUCUUGUAGCAUCAGCUUUAUUGUAGAAUAAACUUUACAGGGACUUAUAUCCCACUUCAUUGGAUGCAUGAAGUAUUACCUGUGUGCAUCAACUACACUUCUGAAAAAGCUUUAGGAGCA